RNAcentral lists this small RNA (2654 nucleotides) under Arabidopsis thaliana (thale cress). RNAcentral describes it as "ATSL043990". The record is from RNAcentral. Lineage: Eukaryota; Viridiplantae; Streptophyta; Magnoliopsida; Brassicales; Brassicaceae.
CAAAGCUCUUAAGAAUGGGGUAAUUGGUCUUAGUGGACUCCUCAAUCCAUUAGGUAACUAACAAACUCAAUCAAGUUAUCCCUAGACAAUAGAUUCAAAACCAAAUCAAGCCACUUCCGUGUGAAUGAUUCUCAUAACUUUAGAACUUCCUAAUCUCAAUUUCCAUUGAUGAAACAUAAUAAAGCAGGCUUUAAACACCAAUCUAUUAAAGUCAAUAAGCAGUCUAAACAUCCAAUGCCUUGGGCUAGAAUCUACAAAUCUCUGAAAUUAGUUGGUUCAGACAUUUCAUCAAACACCUUUUGGAUGGAGAAAGUCUGAAAUCAAUUUUCAAUUGAUCAGAAAGAAAAUAGCAUUAAGAACUCCUAAAACAGAAGGGAAUCAUGCAUAUAAUCACUUAGCUAGCUAAAGAAGAGAGGAAUCCACCUAAACCUAACCCAUCCUCAAGAACUUUGAAGAACACUACUCAAGAACACUGAAGAACAUCAUAGAACAAAACCCAGAAAAUUCAUAAAACCCAGAAAUCAUUAUAAACUUAGCAAAAGAUAGAUCUCAAUGAGAUAAACAAGUUUGCAGAAGAAAUCAAAUCCAAAUUCUCAACACAACAACCAGAAAAUGCAAAAGAAAAUCAAAGAACCCUAAUAUCCAGCGGACAAAGCUCAGAUAUUUUGGGCAAAAACAUAAGAGGUCUAUUUAUAGGCAAUCCUAGGUUGCCCUAAUUGGGAAUAAGACAAAAUAGAUAAGUCGGCGCAGGAGCGUUCGGCCCUAGGCCGAGUAGAAAAGCCGAGUGGCUUGGUCUUGGUCAUACAGCUCGGCCCUAGGCCGAGUGGCUUGGUCGAGUGGCUUCUCUUCAUCCUUAAGUGCACAACUCGGCCUCCAGCCGAGUGCCUUGGUCGAGUAGGCUCCUUGUUCUUCACGUGUGCUCCACUCGGCCUCCAACCGAGUACAUAGGCCGAGUAUACUUCAAAUCCUUCCUUAGGUCCCCCGAACUCGAGUCUGUCCAUCCCUUGUGCUAGAAACCUCCAAGUUGAGUCCAAAAGUACCUAAUUCAUCUGCAAAACACUCCAAAUGCAAGUAUGCUAUGCAAUGCAAUGCAAAAUGUGCAAAAGAAGGAAAAGAGACUAAGAAUGCAUAAAAAGAGACUUGAAACUAAACUAAAUGCAUGAAAAACAAGGGCUUAAAAAGGUUAAAAUCUAGUGUUAUCAACACCCCCAAACUUAGCUCUUUGCUUGUCCUCAAGCAACAAUAGAACUAGGCUAGGAGUGAGGUUUGAAGGUGGGGAUUCAGAACCAAAAUAUGCAUGUAAAAUAGAUAGUCUCAAUGUCCAUGUUGCUAGUUCUAGAGUGCUAGGUUGAAUGAUCUCUACUUAAAAACUUUAGCCAUCUUCUUCACAACACAACCUAAUCUUUCACUUAGUCUAUUCAAGCAUUCAAAUCAGCAUAUUCCCUUUAACAUUCAUUAAGCAAGAACCAUGGAUCAUACUAUACAAUGCAUACUAAACUCAUUUGGCUAAGGGCAAAGGGUCAAGAGACAAAAAUGGUCUCUUAAAGAAUAGGCUUUAGUAACAAGGAAUCUCUCAAGAAUGAUUAAGCUUUAGUAGAAUGCUAAAGGUAAGUCCCAAGUUAUGCAUACAAAGAUAAGAUCUCAUCUACCCAAAGUAUAAUCAAUGAAGACCUAAUGGCAAUCCCCUCUCCCAUCCUAAUUAAGAACUUGACUCUACCCUUUUGCAUUCAUAAUCUUUUGAACUCUUUCUUAACCCAUUCUUUUCUUUUUUUCUUAACUCUAGGAGAAGCUUUUCUUUUCUCUUUGAUACUUCUAGCGGGUUUGGCUUUCUUUAGUACUAAGGUUCUGUUUUUGAUCUCUAUUAAGCUUAGGGCUUUUUACCCUUCUUUAUUAGCUAACAAUAACCCAAUCUCUUUCUUUAACAAUCUCAAACCCUUUACUAGACUUUUUCUAACUUCUUUAGCUUACUUCUCCUAGAAUUCUUUUCCCUUUUCUUGUAAACAAUGAACUCAACCCUUUUUCUAUUUUAAACUCUUCACAACCCAUAGAACAAGUACCCACCUAGUCCUAUCUAGUCCGGAUAACGCGAACUAGAACUACAUGAGAUACUAUCUUUGUCGUUACAAACCUAACACUUUCUACCAAGCUUAAUCGAAAAUAGACCUCACAAACACUCACAAGUGAUAUAUGGCUUGAAAGAAGGCUUAGGUUAGGGUAUGGGGAAACUGCUCUAAAGGUGAGAGACAGCUAUUUGGAUCAACAAGAGUGGUGAAACGAAUAAGAAGAUCCAAAUAUUUUAAGGGUGACCAUGAGUUUAACAAACAAUGCAUAGUAUGAUAAUUAAAAGUCAAAUUAUGGUUCAAAUUAAUAGGGAAUAGCUUCAAAUCACAGCAAGUUUCGACUAAGGAAAGAUCAAAUAUAUGAAUUCAAAAGAUGGUGCGGUUUUACUUCAAGAUCAAUCGGUUAAGCACUAGACAACUAACAACAAGGGCAUUGAAACUAUCUAGUGAACAUUGCAAAUUUACAAGGCUAUGAUCAUCAUUAUUCCCUAUGCAAGUGCAAAAUGCAACAACCUAUAUGAUAACAUUCUAAAAACAGUCCUAUUAAUGCAAAUGCAAACUAUAUGACACUCUAUUUUUUUGGAAUCAUUUUCG